This 328-nucleotide non-coding RNA is filed under the name Phycomyces blakesleeanus NRRL 1555(-). RNAcentral's name for it is "Eukaryotic large subunit ribosomal RNA". It matches the Rfam family "Eukaryotic large subunit ribosomal RNA", at positions 1 to 319 of the family's 3401-position model. The record is from Rfam by way of RNAcentral. Lineage: Eukaryota; Fungi; Mucoromycota; Mucoromycetes; Mucorales; Phycomycetaceae.
GGAUCUGAAAUCAGGUGGGAUUACCCGCUGAACUUAAGCAUAUCAAUAAGCGGAGGAAAAGAAACUAACAAGGAUUCCCCUAGUAACGGCGAGUGAAGAGGGAAAAGCUCAAAGUUGGAACCUGUUUGGCUUAGCUAAACCGGAUUGUAAACUAAAGAGCCGUUUUCCAGACGAGCUAAGCAAAAAAGUCCCUUGGAACAGGGCAUCAUAGAGGGUGAGAAUCCCGUCUUUGGCUUAAGCGAUUUCGUCUUUAUGUGAUACGGCUUCAAAGAGUCAGGUUGUUUGGGAAUGCAGCCUAAAGUGGGUGGUAAAUCUCAUCUAAAGCUAA